RNAcentral lists this transfer RNA (99 nucleotides) under Postia placenta Mad-698-R. It matches the Rfam family "tRNA". From Rfam's summary of the family: Transfer RNA (tRNA) molecules are approximately 80 nucleotides in length. Their secondary structure includes four short double-helical elements and three loops (D, anti-codon, and T loops). Further hydrogen bonds mediate the characteristic L-shaped molecular structure. tRNAs have two regions of fundamental functional importance: the anti-codon, which is responsible for specific mRNA codon recognition, and the 3' end, to which the tRNAs corresponding amino acid is attached (by aminoacyl-tRNA synthetases). tRNAs cope with the degeneracy of the genetic code in two manners: having more than one tRNA (with a specific anti-codon) for a particular amino acid; and 'wobble' base-pairing, i.e. permitting non-standard base-pairing at the 3rd anti-codon position. The record is from Rfam by way of RNAcentral. Lineage: Eukaryota; Fungi; Basidiomycota; Agaricomycetes; Polyporales; Adustoporiaceae.
GGCCGGCUGGCCUAAUGGUUAAGGCGUCAGUUUCCGGAAUUGUGACGAUUUGUUCACUGGAAUAGCUGAAGAUUCGGGGUUCGAAUCCCCGGUUGGUCG